UUCUGGUUUAGUGGCGCACGGGUGCGUAACGCGUAUGCAACCUACCUUCUAUUGGGGGAUAGCCUUCCGAAAGGAAGAUUAAUACCGCAUAACACCAUGACCUGGCAUCGGGAUAUGGUUAAAGCUGAGGCGAUAGAAGAUGGGCAUGCGUGCCAUUAGCUAGUUGGCGGGGUAACGGCCCACCAAGGCGACGAUGGCUAG
RNAcentral lists this ribosomal RNA (201 nucleotides) under Chrysotila carterae. RNAcentral describes it as "partial Bacterial small subunit ribosomal RNA". It matches the Rfam family "Bacterial small subunit ribosomal RNA", at positions 85 to 286 of the family's 1533-position model. The record is from RNAcentral. Lineage: Eukaryota; Haptophyta; Isochrysidales; Isochrysidaceae.